This 731-nucleotide ribosomal RNA is filed under the name uncultured bacterium. RNAcentral's name for it is "bacterial SSU rRNA". It matches the Rfam family "Bacterial small subunit ribosomal RNA", at positions 104 to 851 of the family's 1533-position model. The record is from RNAcentral.
GGGUGAGUAACGCGUGAGGAACCUGCCUCAAAGAGGGGGACAACAGUUGGAAACGACUGCUAAUACCGCAUAAGCCCACGGCUCGGCAUCGAGCAGAGGGAAAAGGAGUAAUCCGCUUUGAGAUGGCCUCGCGUCCGAUUAGCUAGUUGGUGAGGUAACGGCCCACCAAGGCGACGAUCGGUAGCCGGACUGAGAGGUUGAACGGCCACAUUGGGACUGAGACACGGCCCAGACUCCUACGGGAGGCAGCAGUGGGGAAUAUUGCACAAUGGGGGAAACCCUGAUGCAGCGACGCCGCGUGGAGGAAGAAGGUCUUCGGAUUGUAAACUCCUGUUGUUGGGGAAGAUAAUGACGGUACCCAACAAGGAAGUGACGGCUAACUACGUGCCAGCAGCCGCGGUAAAACGUAGGUCACAAGCGUUGUCCGGAAUUACUGGGUGUAAAGGGAGCGCAGGCGGGAAGACAAGUUGGAAGUGAAAUCUAUGGGCUCAACCCAUAAACUGCUUUCAAAACUGUUUUUCUUGAGUAGUGCAGAGGUAGGCGGAAUUCCCGGUGUAGCGGUGGAAUGCGUAGAUAUCGGGAGGAACACCAGUGGCGAAGGCGGCCUACUGGGCACCAACUGUCGCUGAGGCUCGAAAGUGUGGGUAGCAAACAGGAUUAGAUACCCUGGUAGUCCACACCGUAAACGAUGAUUACUAGGUGUUGGAGGAUUGACCCCUUCAGUGCCGCAG